GACGAACGCUGGCGGCGUGCCUGACACAUGCAAGUCGGACGGUUCUUGCGCCUUCAAGCUUGCUUGUUGGUUCGAGGAUAGUGGCGGAACGGGUGAGUAACGCGUGAACACCUACCCAUUGGAGGGGUACAAUCCGUCGAAAGGCGGGCUAAUACCGCGUAAGCCGUGAGGUGAAAGGCUGCCUUUUGGUGGCUGCCGAUGGAUGGGUUCGCGUCCUAUCAGCUUGUUGGUGGGGUAAGGGCCUACCAAGGCUAAGACGGGUAGCCGGUCUGAGAGGAUGGCCGGCCACACUGGAACUGAGACACGGUCCAGACUCCUACGGGAGGCAGCAGUGGGGAAUAUUCCGCAAUGGACGAAAGUCUGACGGAGCAACGCCGCGUGAGUGAUGAAGGUUUUCGACGUGUAAAACUACUGUUGUUUAGGUACGAAAGUAGCCUGUUGUCAAAUAAGUUAGUCAGGUAUUGACGGUACUGAACGAGGAAGACACGGCUAACUACGUGCCAGCAGCCGCGGUAAACGAACCGAAG
RNAcentral lists this ribosomal RNA (527 nucleotides) under uncultured bacterium. RNAcentral describes it as "bacterial SSU rRNA". It matches the Rfam family "Bacterial small subunit ribosomal RNA", at positions 28 to 530 of the family's 1533-position model. The record is from RNAcentral.